This 253-nucleotide ribosomal RNA is filed under the name uncultured bacterium. RNAcentral describes it as "partial 16S ribosomal RNA". It matches the Rfam family "Bacterial small subunit ribosomal RNA", at positions 524 to 776 of the family's 1533-position model. The record is from RNAcentral.
UACGAAGGGGGCUAGCGUUGUUCGGAAUUACUGGGCGUAAAGCGCGCGCAGGCGGUUCUUCAAGUCAGUGGUGAAAGCCCGGAGCUCAACUCCGGAAAUGCCAUUGAAACUGUUGAACUUGAGGACGAGAGAGGUGAGUGGAAUUCCCAGUGUAGAGGUGAAAUUCGUAGAUAUUGGGAAGAACACCGGUGGCGAAGGCGGCUCACUGGCUCGUUUCUGACGCUCAGGCGCGAUAGCGUGGGGAUCAAACAGG